AGCAAUCUAAUGAGUCGUACUAGGAUUACUAGUAUAUCUAGUCAAUCUCGAUAUGACAUAGGCAAUGUCAGAUCUAAUCCUAUUCGGUAUAAAGAAGACUAACCUAAAAGUUGAGUUGAAAGGUUCACCCUCAAUCAUGUUGACUUGAGGUUUAGGAUAGUUGUUCUGAUUGUUCUAGUCUUCUUGUAGACAACUUUCUUCGAUAAAAACAUUUUGAAGCAAAAUAGUUGUUCCGGCCACAAACAUAACAUAAACCAUCCUUCUUAUUCCCACUAGAUUGGUUGGUAUUGAGCUUCUGCGUAUGGUUCCAAUUUCGGUUCCUACCCUCAAAAUCUUUACCCUUAGAUUUAAAAUUUCUACAUUUGGGUUUCAACUCAUGGCUUCGGUUCUGAAUCUCGGUCAGAUUUAUAUUAGAUAGGUUGCGAAUUGGUUUAAUGGUUUUAUAUUCUGAUCGCUUGAAUUACCAACUCUAGUUUAAGAGUUUCCUGAGUUCUUCUAACCUUUUGGGCAAAUCUAGACAAAAGAAAGGGGUAAUUUGUCUAGUAGGCAGGUAGCUUGAUAGAUAUCAUCUAAGGUUAAACCAUUCUUGGACAAAAUUCUGAAAUUGGUAGACCAGAUCAUUUAUAAGAAUGUUGUCUACCAUUCUAAAAAUAAAAUCAGUAAUGGUAAACCUAGCAGCACCUUCAAUUUUGUGAUGUAGGCAUCUUCUAGAGUAUUACCAUAAAUCUUUGAUAGUUUGGUAUUUCCUAUAAGUUUCAUAAAGUUCAUCAGAUAGGCAACUAAGUAUUCUAAACCUAUAGUGAAAUUUAAUUUCUCCGUGGAUUUACUACGUUCAAGUUCUGUAACUGAGAUAGCAAUAGAUUUAGAAGAAUCUGUAGAUUUAAAAAAAAAAAAAAAUCAGAGAGAGUUGCAGGAGUAGAAGAAAUUUUAGAAAUAGGAUAGGAAGGUGUUUUUCCAACUGCAGUUAUAAAGUCUAGGGAAAUAAGCCAGGUGUCAGGAAGUGAAUUCUCGAAAUGCGAAAAUUGGACUUCGAUUAGAAUCGACUGAUUGUCGAUUGGGUACGCUUCGGGAAGGCCGAAGACAUCAAGAAGGCCAAAAGUGCAUUGGAGAAGGCCUCCGAGAGCGACUUGUGAAAAUUCUGCAAAGUGCAAGAUUUUUGCUCUCGGGGACCGGUCCUUGGUGGGAGAGACCGGUCCCCGUAGCUUGGAAAGUGUGGCAGAAGGCUCUGCGCACAAAACUUGCUCUCGGGGACCGGUCCCUGACGGGGGAGACCGGUCCCCGUAGGUAUGUAAAUUGAGCAAGAGGCUGUCCUGCGAGAGUGUGCUCUCGGGGACCGGUCCCUCGUUGGAGAGACCGGUCCCCGUAAACGUGGGAAAGGGAGCAAGGGCCCUUUUCUAUAAAUAAGCCUCUCGGGGACCGGUCCCUCUUAGAGAGACCGGUCCCCGUAGCCUGAAUUUGCCCAAGAUGGGCUGUGCAUGGUUGGCAAAGUUGAGGGGCUUCUAUGCAUUUGUAGCAUAAGUAGAGGCUAUAUGAAAGAGUGUGCUCUCUUCUCAUUUUCUUCCCCAAACUCAACCCUAUCUCUCUCUCUCUAAACUCUCUUCCUCUCUCUCUAGAAGGUGAAGAAGAGAAUGGAUUUGGUGGAGGCGCAAACUAGGAGAAGGAUCUUCGUUGUCUUCUUCUUCCUCUUCACCCUUGGAGCUAGCUUUGGAGGUAAGCUUCUAAGCUCAACAAUGGUAGAUUUCUAGGGUUAGUUCCGUAUACUCUAGAAAUGGUUUUGUUGGAACCCUAUGAUGCUAAGUGGAUGAUUAAUGCAUGAAUCUAGGGUUUUGUUAGAGUAUUUUGCAAUAGUUGCAAGUUAGGGCUCCGAAAUGGGAUUUUGUGAUUUGUUGGGUAUUGAUCUAAAUUGAUCAAGUGUAAACCUAAUUACUAGGUGUUUAAACUUGUUGGCGAAGACGGUUCGACGAUUCGUCGAGCGGGUGAAAAAUUGUUGGCAAAAAGGACCUUCCGAGCUUCGUUUCCGCCUGGGAGGCCGAGACGACAUCGUAAAAUCGCCGAACUUCAUUCUUAGAGUCGUUACAACGCCAGAAGGUGGGUGGUGUCAUCCCGAAGCAACCGGGCUCCUCUUUAUGUCUUAGUGCAUUAUAACCUUACAUCUCUUUAUGUAUGCAUUGUAGGAUAAAUGUGCAUUUUCAUUUCCUUAUGCUUUCCUAGAUGAUAUCAUAGUGUGAGUUGAAUGCUUCAUAUAGUGAAUAGAUAAGGAUUGAGUCGAGACAUUGAAUCCUAUGGUGCUAAGAUAAGAGAUGGACUCGAUAAUUGAUAAAGACAUAACGAGUGGCAUGUAAAUAAUAAUGACAAAAGAACGAGUGGCAUAAAACUUAGUGUAAAGUGACACUUGACAUGUGAACUUAAGGAUAGGCGGAUUCCCUAGAGAUGAAUCAUUGAACAAGAACUUAGUGUAGUUAAACACUUGCAUAUGGACAUUGGGAUAGAUGGAUUCCCGAGUGACUGUCAACCCUAGUGGAUAGGGUAUCCUCGAGUUGAGAGGAUUGGAUCAUGCUCACUGUUUGUUCAGAGCUUGCGGUGGUCGCUCCACACAAGCAUGCGCUUCGAAGUUUGUCACACGAGGGAUAGCCUUAUGAGGUCCCGAGGAUAGCCUUAAUGGGGUCCCGCAAACGGUCUCGAGUUUGUUGAGCGAGUUGAGUUUCCUUACCAUGAGAUGCAUGUGAGUCGUGGGCGAACCUCAGGGUUGGCCAAGGAAUGGGUAAGUCAAGAGAGUUGAUGAACAAGUAAAUGGCAUUACUUCUUGGACAUAAUGGCAUGUUAGUUGAUUACCUAUCACAUUAUGCAUGCAUACAUUGAAUAUGAUUCGGGCAUAGUAGCAUAGCUUUCUUACUAUGUCGUUACUGUUUUCGCAUAUCUAUCUAUCUAUCUAUCUGCUUGUGCCCACUUGGACCUAGUGGGGAGAUCGGCGAAGUCGGCGGCCGAACCCACUGGGAACUAUGGACGAUAGUUCUCACCCCACUUUGUUGCAGGGCCGAGUACGAGCGCUCCGUGUGAGGAUCGCGGUAAGAGCUUAGCGCCCUCGCAUUAGUAGCUCUCCUACUGCAUUAGAGGUACCUACAUAUGUGAGAGUAGAUGAUGUAUAGGCUGUGAGAUGCAUUUUGGAGAGAAGAGAAUAAACUUGUUGUACCUAUAUUUUGGACGAACAAAAUGUGAAUCAAUUGUAUAAAUGGACAAAUCGUGAUGUAAUAGAUAGAACUCUCUCUUUUUGCACUUGUAUGUAUAUUUGUGUUACUUGCUCUUGUUGUUAAGCACUUGUGGUGCUUCUAUUGUCGUUGUAUGGAUCAUGUAUGUAUUGAAUUAUUCCCGGGCGAAUUCUUGUGCAUGAUCCCAUGCUUGAGCCUUGGGCGGACAGGGGAGGUGCUGUCCGUUCGCCGUCUGUUCGACGCGCCCGAACCGGACCAAUAGGUAGCGGUCUCGGGGCGUGACAGGUAAUUAUGGUAUCAGAGCAAGUAAAGAGAGGAAUCUAGGAUUGACCUAGAAGACCCUAGGAUGGAAACCUUAAGGCUAUAGGUGCGUAAGAGAGACGUGAACCUAUAACAGUGGCGGGAGUUGAUCGAUUGGGUCAGGAUUGGAGUGUGUUUCUAGUAGUGACUAGAAACGGAUUCAAGUGGUAUGAGUUCUCGACUCGCAGUGGUUGUGUUGGCGGCCGACAACAUGACACUAAGAGCCGGGAAUGAGUACACUUGUGUGCUUCCGCCUAAUUGCGAUGCCGAGUCGCGUUGUUCGUAAAUGCGAUGAGGUUUAGCGGGUUAGGGUGAUUAACCAAGUUGGUUGUGUUUCAGGAGCUGAUGUCCCCAAGGCGCUACACACGUAGGUCCGUUCCGGCACCGCCUCCUGAGGUGCCUGAGCAAGCUGGAUCUAGCGAAGUGCAAGAGUUACGGGCGCAAAUGACUGCGCUAGCCGGCGUGGUGCAGCGCCAAGAGAGUCGGUUCGAGCGGCUCCAAGAGCUUAUGGAGCGGCAGGUGGCGGCGGCUGCUGCGACGGCAACCGAAGGUCGUGAUCCGCCCGUCCCCUCGGCGCGCGUGCCUGAAGUGGCAGAGGGUGAGGGCAUAGCGGCAGUUCCGGUGGUGGCACAUUCCCCGCCGGCAAGUGUUCCUCCGGCGGCCUCAGGUUCGGCGACACCCGAUGCGGCGGCCAAGAAGGUGGAACGGGAGCAUGCGUUGGCGGCUCUCGUCAAGUUUAGGAAGUUCAACCCACCUAUUUUCAAGGGGGAAAAGGUGGAACCGUCGAUGGUGGAGUCGUGGGUUGACUCAGUAGAGACACUCUUUGAGGACCUGUCCACCUUGGAGAAGGAUAAGGUGUACCUCGCCACCCAUUGUCUCGAGAAGGCGGCGAAGGUGUGGUGGAAGCGGGUGAAGCGAGACCGGUCUUCCGACCUUCCGUCGAUGUUAUGGGAGGAGUUUAAAAAGACCAUGUUCGCAAACUACUUCCCCGACACUAUGAAACGGAAGCUGCAGGAGAAGUUUCGUAAGUUGAGACGGGGAUCGUUGAGUAGCGGACUAUGAACAGGAAUUCUCCCAUAUCAUAGACUCUGUCCCGGAUGUUGUUCGAGAUGACCGAGACCGAGCCGAUUGGUUCUUGCGAGGGCUUCGGCCGGGGAUAUAUAGGGCCGUGCAGCUAUUCAAGCUCACGACCUUUGCCGAGAUAUUUGACCGAGCAUUGUGGGCGGAGCACGGUGAUGCCCACGUGCGAGAAGAGCGCGAGCUGAUGGCCGAGUCGAAGGACAAUGGGAAGAAGCGUCAGGGCGGUGGUUCGGGGGGACAAUCUAGUUCCAAGAAGCCCCCGAAGUAUCCGCAAUCGCAAUCCAGAGGCCGUGGAGUGCCGCGGUGUGUCAUCUGUGGUGGAGACCACCCCGCGUCGCGUUGCCGUCAGCGGCAAGGAAAGUGCUUCAAGUGUGGGCAAGCGGGACACUUUGUCCGCGACUGUCCUGGGGGAGUCUUGCCUGCCCCGUCUGUCGCAUCGGCUCCAGCGACUCCGGCACAUUAUAGAGCCCACCGGCAACGGCAUUGGCUGGACGCGCGAUGGCGCCGCGUCAACCUGAGAUGACGCGAUCGGCCCCGAGCGGACGGGUAUUCGCCGCUCAAGCCGAGGAGCCUGUCGAAGCUGAGCGCCACGUUGUGGCAGGUAUGGUUUUAAUUAACGGAGUUCGUCCAGGGCUAUGUUUGAUACAGGUGCCACACAUUCAUUCAUCAGUAGAUCAUUUGCACAAAUGCAUGACAUUGGCAUUCAAUUAAGUAAGAGCACCUAGCGAGUAGAGGGCCCCGGGCGUGCGUUCGUUAUUCGCAAGGGAUGUCCGGCGUGUCCAAUUCAAGUGGGCAACUGGAUAAUGCCAAUUCGUAUGUUGAUGCUCAAGAGGUUGAAAGACUUCGACGUUAUACUGGACAUGGACUGGCUUUCGAAAUAUUACGCGUCUAUUGACUGCAGGCAUAGGGUGAUAACGUUUCGGGAGCCAGGAUAGGAGGAAUUCACAUACCGAGCGUGCAAGAGCUCAUGCUUCGCCGCGACGGUAUCUGCGACGAGAGCAAGGAAAUUGGUUAACAGCGGUUGCGUGGCUUACUUAGCGACCAUUGUGGAAAUGGAUCGAGUAGUUCCGGCACUCGAUGAGUUGUCGGUAGUUCGGGAGUUUCCGGACGUGUUUCCUACGGAGUUACCGGAGAUGCCGCCGAACCGAAAGAUCGAGUUUGUGAUAGACUUGAUCCCCGGAACGGCGCCGAUCUCAAAGGCCCCGUAUCGUAUGGCGCCGGCUGAACUAAAGGAGUUGAGGGCCCAACUGCAAGAUCUCCUCGACAAAAGGUUCAUCAGGCCGAGUGUAUCACCGUGGGGAGCCCCAAUAUUAUUUGUGCGGAAGAAAGACGGAUCGUUUCGACUCUACGUGGACUAUCGCAAGUUGAACAAGGUCACGAUCAAAAAUAAGUACCCACUGUCCCGAAUCGACGAUUUAUUUGAUCAACUACAGGGGUCGUGCAUGUACUCAAAGAUAGACCUAUUGUCCGGUUAUCAUCAGCUGAAGAUAAAGCGGGAGGAUGUGCAGAAGACCGCAUUCCGCACGCGGUACGGGCACUAUGAAUUCACGGUCAUGCCGUUUGGGCUCACGAACGCCCCGGCAGCAUUCAUAGACUUAAUAAACCGUGUCUUCAAUGGGUACUUGGACCGAUUUGUCGUGGUUUUUAUAGACGACAUUUUGGUCUAUUUUCGUAGCGACGAGGAGCAUGCCGAACAUCUAAGGCUAGUGCUUCAAAUCCUUCGGGAGGAGUUGUAUGCGAAGCUAAAGAAGUGCGACUUUUGGCUCCGGGAGGUCACAUUUCUGGGGCAUGUUAUUUCCGAGGGUGGUAUCUCUGUUGACCCUAGAAAAGUUGAGGCGAUUAAAGAUUGGCCGCGCCCGACUAAUGUCACGGAGGUUCGAAGCUUCGUGGGCUUGGCGGGCUACUAUAGACGGUUUGUGGAGGGUUUCUCGAAGAUCGUGAUUCCACUCACCCGUCUGACUCAGAAGGGCACCAAGUUUGUAUGGAGCGAGGAGUGCGACCGGAAUUUUUAAGAGUUGAAGGAGAAACUGACUUCGACUCCGGUACUUGCUUUACCGGUGCCAGAUGAGGACUUUGUGGUUUAUAGUGACACGUCUUAUUCGGGAUUGGGGUGUGUUCUGAUGCAAGACGGGAAGGUGAUCGCGUAUGCGUCCCGCUAGCUAAAGAGCUACGAGAAGAACUACCCUGUCCACAUCUUGGAGUUAGCCGCGGUGGUAUUUGUUCUCAAGUUGUGGAGGCAUUACUUGUACGGCACGCGUUGCGAAGUGUAUACUAACCACAAGAGUCUAAAAUAUUUGUUCACACAAAAAGAUCUGAACAUGCGACAACAGCGGUGAUUAGAGCUGCUGAAGGAUUAUGAUCUCGAUAUUCUCUACCACCCCGGGAAGGCAAAUGUAGUCGCUAACGCACUCAGUAGAAAGUCGGCGGAGAACCUCGCGAUGUAGGUCACGGAUUAGGAGCCCCUAUGGAAGGAAAUGGGACGGAUUGAUCUCGAGGUUGUAGCUCCCGAGAUUCCGGCUAUGUUGUCAACUCUCGUUGUCCAACCAACCCUGUUGGAGAGAAUUAAAGGGUUGCAACCUGCAGAUCCAACUCUCCAAAAGGUGCGGCGCGACAUCGAGAGUGGAUGCGGCGGCGAUUUCAGUGUAGACGCCGAGGGUGUGCUUCGGUUUCGGAACCAGUGGUGUGUACCAGACAAUGAAGAGAUUCGAAAGCUGAUUCUGAAAGAAGCACAUUGGUCGCCUUAUAGCAUCCACCCAAGAGACACCAAGAUGUAUCAAGAUCUAAAACAGCAUUACUGGUUGCCGGGAAUGAAAGUCGAUAUUGGACGCUAUAUGGCGGAGUGUCUGGUAUGCCAGCAAGUCAAAGCAGAGCGCCGAUUUCCAGCGGAAAAGCUGCAGAGCUUACCUAUCCCCGCUUGGAAAUAGGAGGAUAUGACCAUGGACUUCGUGGUCGGCUUGCCUCGUUCAUCGAGUGGCCACGAUGCAAUCUGGGUGAUUGUGGAUCGUUUGACGAAGUUGGCACACUUUUUGCCGAUCCACACGACUUGGGCAGGUGACGGGCUGGCGCAGGUAUACCUGGAUGAUAUUGUGAGGUUGCACGAGGUGCCGAAGUCGAUUGUAUCGGAUCGAGACCCCCGGUUCACUUCGCAUUUUUGGAAGAGCAUGUAAGAAGCGUUGGGCACACGGCUCGAUUUCAGCACCGCUUUUCAUCCUCAGACAGAUGGACAGUCAAAGAGGACUACAGAUUCUAGAGGAUAUGUUGCGAGCGUGUCAUUGACUAUAGGGGUGGUUGGAGUAACCACUUGCCAAUGGCCGAGUUCGCUUACAACAAUAGUUAUCAGGCUAGUGUAGGGAUGUCACCGUUCAAAGCUCUUUACGGGCGGAAGUGCCGAUCUCCUAUCCAUUGGAGUGAGGUAGGCGAACGUGCGGUAUGUUUUGCGAGAGGCGGAGGAGAAAGUCCGCCUUGCUCGCCAAAGAUUGCUCAUGACGCAAUCUAGACAAAAGAGUUACACAAAUAAGCACCGUAGAGAUUUGGAAUUCGUGGUGGGCGACCGCGUCUUCUUAAAGGUGUCGCCCACGAGAGGCGUGAAGCGGUUCGGAGUGCGGGGAAAAUUGAGUCCCCAAUAUAUUGGGCCGUACGAGGUGUUGGAGUGAAUUGGUGCAGUGGCUUAUCGGCUAGCGUUGCCGCCGAAGCUCGCCGAUGUUCACAAUGUCUUCCAUGUCUCCAACCUCCGCAAAUAUAUCCACGAUCCCGAGCAUGUAUUAUCAUAUGCACCGCCGGCAUUGCGCGAGGAUAUGAGCUACGAGGAGUUUCCAACGUUGAUUAUUGCUCGAGAAGUGCGAAAGUUGCGAAAUUCCCUACGUCAAGGUUCGGUGUACCAAUCAUGACGAUCGCGAAGCUACGUGGGAACUAGAGGACACAAUGAAAGCGCAACAUCCUCACUUAUUUGAGGAUUAAGAUGAGGUAUGAGUUAAGUUCAAGUUUUAGUUGAGAUUUGAGUUCGUUUCGAGGACGAAACUCUUUUAAAGGUUGGGAGGAUGUAAGGAAGUGAAUUCUCGAAAUGCGAACGUUGGACUUCGAUUAGAAUCGACUGAUUGUCGAUUGAGUACGCUUCGGGAAGGCUGAAGACAUCAAGAAGGCCAAAAGUGCAUUGGAGAAGGCCUCCGAGAGCAAGUUGUGAAAAUUCUGCAAAGUGCAGGAUUUUUGCUCUCGGGGCAGGUCCCUGGUGGGAGAGACCGGUCCCCGUAGCUUGGAAAGUGUGGCAGAAGGCUCUGCGCACAAAACUUGCUCUCGGGGACCGGUCCCUGACGGGGGAGACCGGUCCCCGUAGGUAUGUAAAUUGAGCAAGGGGCUGUCCUGCGAGAGUGCUCUCGGGGACCGAUCCCUCGUUAGAGAGACCGGUCCCCGUAAGCGUGGGAAAGGGAGCAAGGGCCCUUUUCUGUAAAUAAGCCACUCUCGGGGACCGGUCCCUCUUAGAGAGACCGGUCCCCGUAGCCCGAAUUUGCCCAAGAUGGGCUGUGCAUGGUUGGCAAAGUUGAGGGGCUUUUAUGCAUUUGUAGAAUAAGUGGAGGCUAUAUGAGAGAGUGUGCUCGCUCUUCUCAUUUUCUUCCCCAAACUCAACCCUAACUCUCUCUCUCUCUCUCUCUCUCUCUCUAAACUCUCUUCCUCUCUCUAGAAGGUGAAGAAGAGAAGGGAUUUGGUGGAGCAAGCUAGGAGAAGGAUCUUCAUUGUCUUCUUCUUCCUCUUUACCCUUGGAGCUAGCUUUAGAGGUAAGCUUCUAAGCUCAACAAUGGUAGAUUUCUAGGGUUAGUUCCGUAUACUCUAGAAAUGGUUUUGUUGGAACCCUAUGAUGCUAAGUGGAUGAUUAAUGCAUGAAUCUAGGGUUUUGUUGGAGUAUUUUGCAAUAGUUGCAAGUUAGGGCUCCGAAAUGGAGUUUUGUGAUUUGUUGGGUAUUGAUCUAAAUUGAUCAAGUGUAAACCUAAUUGCUAGGUGUUUAAACUUGUUGGCGAAGACGGUUCGACGAUUCGUCAAGCGGGUGAAAAAUUGUUAGCAAAAAGGACCUUCCGAGCUUCAUUUUCGCCUGGGAGGCCGAGACGACAUCGUAAAAUCGCCGAACUUCAUUCUUAGAGUCGUGACAAUGCCAGAAGGUGGUGUCAUCCCGAAGCAACCGGGCUUCUCUUUAUGUCUUAGUGCAUUAUAACCUUACAUCUCUUCAUGUAUGCAUUGUAGGAUAAAUGUGCAUUUUCAUUUCCUUAUGCUUUCCUAGAUGAUAUCAUAGUGUGAGUUGAAUGCUUGAUAUAGUGAAUAGAUAAGGAUUGGGUCGAGACAUUGAAUCAUAUGGUGCUAAGAUAAGAGAUGAACUCGAUAAUUGAUAAAGACAUAACGAGUGGCAUGUAAAUAACAAUGACAAAAGAACGAGUGGCAUAAAACUUAGUAUAAAGUGACACUUGACAUGUGAACUUAGGGAUAGGCGGAUUCCCUAGAGAUGAAUCAUUGAACAAGAACUUAGUAUAGUUAAACACUUGCAUAUGGACAUUGGGAUAGGUGGAUUCCCGAGUGACUGUCAACCCUAGUGGAUAGGGUAUCCUCGAGUUGAGGAUUGGAUCAUGCUCACUGUCUGUUCAGAGCUUGCGGUGGUCGCUCCACACAAGCAUGCGCUCCGGAGUUUGUCACACGAGGGAUAGCCUUAUGGGGUCCCAAGGAUAACCUUAUGGGUCCCGCAGACGGUCUCGGAUUUGUUGAGCGAGUUGAGUUUCCUUACCAUGAGAUGCAUGUGAGUCGUGGGCGAACCUCAGGGUUGGCCAAGGAUUGGGUUAAGUCAAGAGAGUUGAUGAACAAGUAAAUGGCAUUACUUCUUGGACAUAGUGGCAUGUUAGUUGAUUACCUAUCACAUUGUGCAUGCAUACAUUGAAUAUGAUUCGGGCAUAGUAGCAUAGCUUUCUUACUAUGUCGUUACUGUUUUCGCAUAUCUAUCUAUCUAUCUGCUUGUGCCCACUUGGACCUAGUGGGGAGAUCGACGGAGUCGACGGCCGAACCCACUGGGAACUAUGGACGAUAGUUCUCACCCCAUUUUGUUGCAAGGCCGAGUACGAGCGCUUCGGGUGAGGAUCCCGGUAAGAGCUUAGCGCCGUCACAUUAGUAGCUCUCCUACUGCAUUAGAGGUACCUACAUAUGUGACAGUAGAUGAUGUAUAGGCUGUGAGAUGCAUUUUGGAGAGAUGAGAAUGAACUUGUUGGACCUAUAUUUUGGACGAACAAAAUGUAAAUCAAUUCUAUAAAUGGACAAAUCGAACUCUCUUUUUGCACUUGUAUGUAUACUUGUGUUACUUGCUCUUGUUGUUAAGCACUUGUGGUACUUCUAUUGUCGUUAUAUGGAUCAUGUAUGUAUUGAAUUGUUCCUGGGCGAAUUCUUGUGCAUGAUCCCGUGCUUGAGCCUUGGGCGGACAGAGGAGGUGCUGUUCGCUCGGCAUCUAUUCGACGCGCCCGAAUCGGACCAAUAGGUAGCGGUCUCAGGGCGUGACACCAGGCCUCUAACUAUUCUUGCCACCUCACAAAGCCUAUCUCUCUAAACUUUUUAGGCUUCGGGCUUAAGACUAGAAGUGUCCUCAAAGACUAUUUUAGAUAAUCAACCCACAGCCUUCUCCUAUCAAUCUGACUAUUAGAUGUAUACACAAAAGUGUAAAUCAAAUCUUUAUUCAGCUUCAUACUUUCUAUAGCAGCCAAGAGUUAACAUCUGGUCAGUCUUUUCGAUAACUCUGACUGUUGUUAGGAUAUUUGGAUCCCGCAGCACUCAGAUUCUCACUUGCUUCGUGUUGUCAUUCUAUUGGGAGGCUCGUUACUUCAACUAGUCCCCAUGUUCUUCGAAUGGAUCUCUUAGUUGUUGAGAGGGUUGCCCAAAAGCGGUAUAUAAGGCGUACCCAGUAAAGCUUACAAGUAAACCAGAUAUGGAGAUGGCGACUAGGGUUGCUGUUUC
Molecule: long non-coding RNA, 11558 nt
Filed under: Ananas comosus (pineapple)
Lineage: Eukaryota; Viridiplantae; Streptophyta; Magnoliopsida; Poales; Bromeliaceae
Description: long non-coding RNA (ACOM_LNC001923)
Source: RNAcentral